UGGGGGCAAAGACGUUAAGGGCAUCGACGUGAAGGGCAUUGGAGUGGUUGGGAUCAUUAAUUGUGUUAGAGAUUGGGGUCUAAACCGCCUGAAUCUUGUUCCAUUAAAUCAUCUGGACUUUCAUCUUCUUCGGUCACUCAAAUUUUUAUUAUUUUUUCUUUUAAACACUAACUUUAACGCCCUAGUCCCAAUGUUCUGC
RNAcentral lists this long non-coding RNA (199 nucleotides) under Vigna radiata. RNAcentral describes it as "long non-coding RNA (VRAD_LNC004885)". Lineage: Eukaryota; Viridiplantae; Streptophyta; Magnoliopsida; Fabales; Fabaceae. The record is from RNAcentral.